GAAGUCCACUAGGGGCGCCAAAAAAUGGCUGAGAUAAGGAGUAAUCCUUAGUCCCUCAUAACCUGAUCUGGUUAGUACCAGCGUAGGGAAGUGGAGUCGGUGUUGA
This 106-nucleotide non-coding RNA is filed under the name Bacillus solimangrovi. RNAcentral describes it as "TPP sequence". It matches the Rfam family "TPP riboswitch aptamer (THI element)". From Rfam's summary of the family: Vitamin B(1) in its active form thiamin pyrophosphate (TPP) is an essential coenzyme that is synthesised by coupling of pyrimidine and thiazole moieties in bacteria. Lineage: Bacteria; Bacillati; Bacillota; Bacilli; Caryophanales; Bacillaceae. The record is from Rfam by way of RNAcentral.